Molecule: ribosomal RNA, 345 nt
Filed under: uncultured Bacteroidales bacterium
Lineage: Bacteria; Pseudomonadati; Bacteroidota; Bacteroidia; Bacteroidales
Description: bacterial SSU rRNA
Rfam family: Bacterial small subunit ribosomal RNA
Source: RNAcentral
GCUCAGGAUGAACGCUAGCUACAGGCUUAACACAUGCAAGUCGAGGGGUAGCAGGGUAGCAAUACCGCUGACGACCGGCGCACGGGUGAGUAACACGUAUCCAACCUUCCCAUAACUCAGGGAUAGCCUUUCGAAAGAAAGAUUAAUACCCGAUAGUACUUUUUCAAGGCAUCUUGAGAAAGUUAAAGAUUUAUUGGUUAUGGAUGGGGAUGCGUUCCAUUAGAUAGUUGGUGAGGUAACGGCUCACCAAGUCUUCGAUGGAUAGGGGUUCUGAGAGGAAGGUCCCCCACAUUGGUACUGAGACACGGACCAAACUCCUACGGGAGGCAGCAGUGAGGAAUAUUG